AUUCCAGCUCCAAUAGCGUAUAUUAAAGUUGUUGCAGUUAAAAAGCUCGUAGUCGGACUUCUGGCGUUGGGGUGUCGGUCCGCCGCAAGGUGUGCACUGCGCUUCGUCGCCAUCCUUCUUGAGGAGCGCGUGUGCCCUUAAUUGGGUGGAUGCGCGACUCGAGACCUUUACUUUGAAAAAAUCAGCGCGUUCAAAGCAGGCUUCUCGCUUGAAUGUACUAGUAUGGAAUAAUAGAAUAGGACUUUGGUUUUAUUUUGUUGGUUUCUAAGACCGAAGUAAUGAUUAAUAGGGAUAGUUGGGGGCAUUCGUAUUUAAUUGUCAGAGGUGAAAUUCUUGGAUUUAUGAAAGACGAAUAUCUGCGAAAGCAUUUGCCAAGGAUGUUUUCAUCG
Molecule: ribosomal RNA, 389 nt
Filed under: Choanoflagellata sp.
Lineage: Eukaryota; Choanoflagellata
Description: partial small subunit ribosomal RNA
Rfam family: Eukaryotic small subunit ribosomal RNA
Source: RNAcentral